UACGGGAGGCAGCAGUGGGGAAUAUUGCACAAUGGGCGCAAGCCUGAUGCAGCCAUGCCGCGUGUAUGAAGAAGGCCUUCGGGUUGUAAAGUACUUUCAGUCGUGAGGAAGGUGUUAAGGUUAAUAACCUUAGCAAUUGACGUUAGCGACAGAAGAAGCACCGGCUAACUCCGUGCCAGCAGCCGCGGUAAUACGGAGGGUGCGAGCGUUAAUCGGAAUUACUGGGCGUAAAGGGCACGCAGGCGGUUAAUUAAGUUGGAUGUGAAAUCCCCGGGCUUAACCUGGGAAUGGCAUUCAAGACUGGUUAGCUAGAGUCUUGUAGAGGGGGUAGAAUUCCAUGUGUAGCGGUGAAAUGCGUAGAGAUGUGGAGGAAUACCGGUGGCGAAGGCGGCCCCUGGACAAGACUGACGCUCAUGUGCGAAGCGUGGGGAGCAACG
RNAcentral lists this ribosomal RNA (437 nucleotides) under uncultured bacterium. RNAcentral describes it as "bacterial SSU rRNA". It matches the Rfam family "Bacterial small subunit ribosomal RNA", at positions 340 to 773 of the family's 1533-position model. The record is from RNAcentral.